Long non-coding RNA from Salarias fasciatus (jewelled blenny), 1621 nucleotides. Lineage: Eukaryota; Metazoa; Chordata; Actinopteri; Blenniiformes; Blenniidae. The record is from Ensembl.
GAUGACAAAGCUCACUGCUUUGACUUUGAGAGGAGUCUGAUAGUUGAAAUGUCUUAGUGACCUCCAGUGAACCAGCACUCUGAGAAGCAGGUGUUCUCCUGGGCAGUAUGGGGUUAACAGCUCUGUAGGAUCUGAUGGGGCCUGGAUGUUCAGAGCUUCAUAGGUUAAGAGAAGGAUUUAAACUCUAUUCUAGAUUUGACAUGAAGUCAGUGAAGAGAAGCCGACGCUGGAGUGAUGUGGUCUCUAACGGUAGUUCUUGUCAGAACUCUCACUGCUGCUACGUCCAAAAAACAUGUUUUUGAGCUGAAUCUGAGGCUGGAAAUCCACCCUGUGCGUAUGAAGCAUCCCGUCCUGUGUGACCUUUAAGGGUCGGCGAUUCAAUCUUCAGUUAUCAGUGACUUGGAUGGGGAUGAGUGGCCCUGGGUGGGGAUGGUUUUUGGGUUAUUUUUUCCGAUCUGUGGUGAGAAAUGAUGAAAGCUUGUUUUUUUGUUGUUGGCCUCUGAUGGAAUCAGUGUAAACACAGCGUCCAGUAAAGUGCAGGCUGCUGCUCGGUGUGUGUGGAGACUCCCUGGAUACCAGCAGAAGCAGCCCUUUGUCUCCUCAUUUAAGAGGUUCAGCUUUGUGCAGAAGAAGUGGAUGCAGAGCAGUGUGUGUGUGUUUCCUAGCUCCUCAUUAUGCAGCCUGUUCAUACAGCCUCCCUCAGAGCUGAAUGUGUGGGGAAGAAAAGCGACCCCUGGGCAUUUGUUGCCUUUUUUCCCCGGUCGGUCGGUCGGAGCUUCAGGAGCCUCGCAGUCUGUCCUGCAGCUCACAUCAUGUUUGUGACCAUUCUGUUCGGAGGUUGGUUCGGUUUCUUUAAUCCUGCAAACGCUGUUUGAAGUUUGACAGCCGGUGUUAAACAGUGUGCCACACGUUGAUGCACUGCCUACUUAACUUUACAGAGUCUUUUUGUUUGUGCAGAUGGGAAAAUGGAAAUGUUCAACCUCAACUGUAAGAUGAUAAACUUCAUCCACCACUUGAAGGAGAGGUGCGGCCUGGACUUCAAAGAGUGUGUGGACGUGAUGGACAGCAGCGGCCAGCUGAUGAACCUGGAGGCCAGGCAGCACAGCUGCUCCCCGGCCAGCAGCGUCCUGGCGGAGCGCCAGUACUACGUCCUCCUGCGAGUGUGCCGGGACGCUGCAGCUGACAGUCCCAAAUACAUCUCCCUGCUGAACAACUACAGCCAGAGCCAUCCAGAGCUAACAGAGCUGCUGAGGAAACUCUCAAACCCUGACAAAGAGCCAGGCAGGAAGACAAGAAGAGGACGAACACAGAGGGGCAAAGUCAUGAAAAAUAAGAACUGAAGUGUUGAAGAGAUUCUGUGAUCGCUGAUCUUUCUACACCCGCUUGACCCUCUUCAGGGAAUUCAGUGAAAUUUCUGUCAAGUUUAACCUGAUAGAGAGGGGAAAAAAGUUUCAAGGCCUUAAUGGGUGUAGAUAAGCACGUCUUUGUAUCCAUUUUGUUCAAGGAACACUUCUGAGCUGCAUUAAAGAAAUGUAUACCUUAAUAAUGUAGAUGGGAAAGAUUUACUAAUAGAUUUCAAUAAAAGGCUGUCUGCACAUUUUUAAUCACCUCUGCUCUCUGA